AUUGAACGCUGGCGGCAUGCCUUACACAUGCAAGUCGAACGGCAGCACGGGUGCUUGCACCUGGUGGCGAGUGGCGAACGGGUGAGUAAUACAUCGGAACAUGUCCUGUAGUGGGGGGUAGCCCGGCGAAAGCCGGAUUAAUACCGCAUACGAUCUACGGAUGAAAGCGGGGGAGCUUCGGGCCUCGCGCUAUAGGGUUGGCAGAUGGCUGAUUAGCUAGUUGGUGGGGUAAAGUCCUACCAAGGCGACGAUCAGUAGAUGGUCUGUGAGGGCGACCGGCCACACUGGGACUGAGACACGGCCCAGACUCCUACGGGAGGCAGCAGUGGGGAAUGUUAGACAAUGGGCGAAAGCCUGAUCCAGCAAUGCCGCGUGUGUGAAGAAGGCCUUCGGGUUGUAAAGCACUUUUGUCCGGAAAGAAAUCCUUGGCUCUAAUACAGUCGGGGGAUGACGGUACCGGAAGAAUAAGCACCGGCUAACUACGUG
RNAcentral lists this ribosomal RNA (486 nucleotides) under uncultured bacterium. RNAcentral's name for it is "partial 16S ribosomal RNA". It matches the Rfam family "Bacterial small subunit ribosomal RNA", at positions 30 to 507 of the family's 1533-position model. The record is from RNAcentral.